UAAACUAAAGUAGUACCUGUUCACUUUCUUUCUUUUCACAUCCCCAAGCCUCAAUUGUUGAGCCGCGGCGGCGUUUCGCUCUCAUCACUUCUUUCUGCUUCCGAAUCAAAAUCCCUCUCUUUAGCUUCUCAAUCUUCAACAUCUUUUUCCGAAUCUUUAACUUCCCAAUCCGAUUCUAAUCUGUCGUUCGGAUUCUAUUUAUGUUUUUAGUAUCGAAAUUGGUAUGUUAUAGAUCUCAACUGGAUUUGAGUUUUGAUGUUAUCUACGUGAUAUUGUGCCUUGCAUACUAUGUUUUGGAUUAUCUGGACACUUGUAUAUAAUCGCUUUUGCAGGUAAUAAUAAAGAGAGACAUCCCAGUUAAUCUCUUAAUCUCUUGGCAAGCACACCGAAUAUGUAAGAACACAAAAGUUUCGGGUCAUUUCGGGUCGUGUCGGGUAACCCGAAAUAAAUCCGAGUCGUGUUCGAGUUAGGUACCUGUACCCAUAAAAUUUUCGGGCCAGGUUCGGGUUGGGUAAAAAAUACUACCCGAGAAUGUUGACCUGACACGAACCCGACCAACAACCCGUAAUUGCCAGCCCUAGACACCAAUAGCAUAUUCAAUUUGAGUCGAUGUAUGCAUCAAGUAAGUACUGUGAGAUCUUAAAUUGUUAUCUUCUUAGUAUUGUAUUUCAUUGUUCAAUGGAUUAGGUUUUCAUGUUAUUUUAUAUUGAUUUCAUAUAUUAAUGUCACAUCUUAAUUCUUGAUUCAUAUUUUUAUCAUUGUAUGUGAUCUAUAUAAUAAAUAUCGGCCGAAUUUUAGCAAUAUAUUCACAAUUACAUGAUAUGGAUCAAUCAGGUUACAUGGGCUCAACUAAUUUCAAAAAUUCACAGGUUGGACACCGUUUGCAUAGGCCAAUUUCACUAUCUUCGUCAAAACAUGGUUUGGUAACUGUUUUUCUCAUGUAAAUAUCAAUUGCUCAUUUUUAAACUUUGUUUAUAUGUGUGUAAAUUAUAUGUAUAUAUCAAUUGCUCUUUCUGUGUAUGUAUAUGAUGGAUGGUGAGUGGGUAAAGACGGCGAUGUCUGAUGAUGGGACUAUGACAGCUCAGCUUCUAGAGCAGAUGUCGCAAUCUCCGAUGGCCACUCCGCCACCUCCAACGAGAAAGACUUUCUCGUUUUAUCUCCGAGUGCAUAUGAUGGAUGGUGAAUGGGUUAAGGCGACGAUGUCUGAUGAUGAGACUAUGACGGCUUAGCUUUUGGUGCAGAUGUAGCAAUCACCGAGGGCAACUCCUCCGCCACAUCCAAUGACGGUUAUGCUAUUAAAAUGGAGCGUCCGUCAACCCCGUACUAGGUCUGUGGUUCAUAAGAGGGGCGGCGCACGUGGCAGUCCAACAACUCUUCUUUCGUGGACUGGUGGGUCCACCUCUUUUAGCGGCGUUGCUCAUCCCACUACUGUUAACGCCUUUGAAUAAUCCUACAACUCCUAUUUCGUGGAAUGGUGUGAUCGACAUUUUUCCGGUGGUGAAAACAAAGAUCACAUCAGUCCAUGAAAAAGGAGUUGUAUGACUGUUCAGAGGCGUCAACAGCUGCGGGAUGAGCACCGCCGCUAAGAAAGGUGGACCCACCGGUCCACGAGAGAGGAGUUGUUGGACUGCCACGUGCGCCGCCCCUCUUAUGAACCACAGAUCUAGUACGGGGUUGACGGACGCUCCAUUUUAAUAGCAUAACCGUCGCUGGAUGUGGCGGAGGAGUUGCCAUCGGUGAUUGCUACAUCUGCACCAAAAGUUGAGUCGUGAUUGUCCCAUUAUCAGAUAUCGCCGUCUUUACCCAUUCACCAUCCAUCAUAUACACUAGAGAGAGAAUGAGAAAGUCUCCGAUACUCCAGUGCUUUUGUGGAGUAUCGAUACUCAGAGAGAGAAUGAGAAAUCCUUGGUCUCAGUUUCAGGUUGAUGAGUGAUGGAUAUCAGUCUUCAUUUGUUGAGCCACCGUUCGCUGCCGACCGAAGGAUUAAUUCAUUUUCAGUGUUUGAAAGAUGCAUCAACUGUUAAAUAUCGUUAAAAUUUUAUACAUUUUAAUGCUUUCACCCAAUUGAAGCGUUGUUCCAAUAAAUUGCAAUUGCUUAACACUUUUCUUUUUUCCUUUUCGUAGAAUUCUCUCUUAACAUUCGGAUCGUAUUGCUUCGCGAGUUUUGUUAUAAUAAUCCUAAUAGUGUUCAUUGGUGAUGUGAUACGAUUGCUUGGUGUUUUUAAUAUCAUUUCUAUCACGACAAUCUAGUAACUCUCCAAUAUUCAUGAGGUGUAUUUUAUUAAGAUUUUAAUAUAUUAUGUAUGAUUUAUGGAUUUUAAUAAGCUAUAUCUGAUUUAAUUUUACGCA
This 2349-nucleotide long non-coding RNA is filed under the name Daucus carota (carrot). RNAcentral describes it as "long non-coding RNA (DCAR_LNC005779)". Lineage: Eukaryota; Viridiplantae; Streptophyta; Magnoliopsida; Apiales; Apiaceae. The record is from RNAcentral.